This is a non-coding RNA of Camellia sinensis, 1879 nucleotides long. NCBI's taxonomy places the organism in Eukaryota, Viridiplantae, Streptophyta, Magnoliopsida, Ericales, Theaceae. The record is from RefSeq and is a predicted model, not a curated record.
UCAAACAGGGAGGGGGGAAAUGAAAUUUUUUGGCGACAAAAAAAAUUUGGUCGCCAAAGUAAAAACGACGUCGUUUUGUACCUGGAAAACAAAAAAAAAAACAAAUUAAAAAAAAGCCCUGAUCUCCUCUUUGUCUCCAACUCUCCCUCUGUGUAUGUUCAUCCGCUCUCUCCCUCUCUCUGUGUUCUCUCUCUCAAUCGGUGCCACUCUCUCGCUCACCGAAGUCCCUCACCACCGUUGCUCACGUCCGUCGCACAUCGCCACCGCCGUAAAUCGCCAUCGCCAACUGUCUUUCUCUCACACAGAUCCUCAGACCACACUCGACCGACGACCACACUGAUCUCUCGUUGAUCCUCAUAUCCUCAGACCACACUCGCCAUCGCCCUCUGUUUCUCUCUCUCUCUCUAUUCGGUCUCUUCUAUGUGUCUCUGUCUUCUUGUCUCCCUCUGUGAUUUGGGUUCAGGUGAGUGUUUGUCGCCUCUAAAUCUGCAGAGGCAGAAUGGUAUCUGCAGAGGCAGCUCUUUGGCCCCUAAAUCUCGCAAGGGCUUUCCGUCUCCCAUCUCUCUGACAAAGAAAAACGAGUCGGUUGUGCAGACCCCCUUCGAUCCUGGUACUCUCUCUCUAUAAUCUAUCUAUCUGUAUAUGUGAUUGAUUAGAUCAUAUCUCUGUGUGAGUUAAAUUACUCUUCCUCUGCCCUUUGUGUGCUGUGUUCAUGUAAUUCAGAUUUAAAAUCAAAUUUGAAGAACUCUAAUGGAAAUUGUGUGUAGUGGGUAUUUUGAUUUGAAGCAAUAGAACUCCAAUUGAGUUACAAAUUGAAAAGAAUUCGAUGGAAAUUUGAUAUUCCCAUAACUAAAUUAACUAGGAUGGGGCUCUUCCAAAAAAAUUAUCAAUAUAGUCUUUAGCAUUUUCAUUUUCUGAGGCAUCCAACCACAAAAAUCCCCUAUUUGGGGAGCUACAGCCUAUAUGGAUCUGUUUAAAUCAAUUUAUUCGAUACUUCUAUGAUGGCCAAUGGUUUCUGAUAUAUUUCUUCUUCUGCUUUUUUUUAAAAAAAAUUUAAUGAGUAUACUUUUGGGUUUUGGUAACUUGACUGUUUGUUUCCAGUUGGCUUUUUUUUUUUUUUUUGGAGUUUGUUUCCAGUUGUCAUACUGAUAUAUUUCCAGUUUGUUUUCAGUUGACUGAUAUAUAUCAAAGUGAGGGUUUCCUGAUAUAUUUCCAAUUUUGCAUAUAAAAAGUGAGGGUUCAAUGUGAACUAUGCAAAGACUUUGAAAUGUAGCAUUUUAUGUGACUGCAGAUUUUAAUGCAACAUGUUUAGAUUUUCUGAUCAACUGCAGUGCCAACGAAAUUUUCUGGUCCAGUGAAAUAGUAGAAUCUGUGAGAGAAGAAUCAUUUGAGUUUUGUGACAAAGAUAAAGAUAGUGAAGAAAGGGAUAGAGUCGAAAUGCUCUUGUGGAGGCUAAUCGGUUCUUUCAGCAGUUUCACGUGUUAAACUUAAAUUCAUAGGAUUGUUAUCAUGCAAUGAUUUUUGAGUGGGUCUACAAACCCAUAACACAACAUCAGAAUUUUGGAAAGUGCGAAGAGCAAUAGUAAAUUGUUGCUUGUUGUUCUUGAUAUGUGGGGGCUUCAACAGGUAAAGGAGAGAUAAGAAAAAUAAAGAGUCAGAAAGAAGAGAAGACAAUUGAAUUGGUGAGUGAGAUUGCUGCUGGUUGAAGCGUGAGGAAGAAGGGGGAGGAGGAAAGAGAAAAGUAAAGAAAAAAAUAGGGGGAGUAUGUGUCCAUGAUAUGUUCAAAGUUGCUGUCAUUAAAGACAAAAGCCCAGCGGACCCUGGUUAGUUCUUCACCAUCAGGACCUGCUUAUACCGUUGAAAAUUCUGCACAUCAAGG